This is a long non-coding RNA of Dermacentor andersoni, 1305 nucleotides long. RefSeq lists it as uncharacterized. The record is from RefSeq and is a predicted model, not a curated record. Lineage: Eukaryota; Metazoa; Arthropoda; Arachnida; Ixodida; Ixodidae.
AUUAUUGACUAGUCAUAUAUUUUCUUGGCGGGUGGGGGCUGCACUGGUGGCGUUCUACGAAUUUGCGCCGCGUGUUUGUGCGGGUAAGCUUAAGUGCAGAAUUUUUUUUGCGCGUUAUGAAAACAAUGCACUGCAGGUAUUUUAAUUAAUGCAACGAGCUGUACGAAAUAUCGGUCAAGGGGUUGGAAACGUCGUUAUAGAGAAUCCCGACGAUUUUUCUUUUGCGUGUGUGUAUUUGGAGUUGAUUCACAGUUUUAUUUGUUUAUUUUGGCUACAUUGCGCCAAUUGCGCUUCCAUAGAAUAAAGAAACGCGCUUCCACGCGCUUGCCGACUCGAUCGCAAGGGGACAGCCUGAUCAACAUCAAUAUCAGCAGCAAUGGCGGAUUUGCGCUUGCCAUGGCGCUUGCAAAGUUUUCAAUAGUUUUCGACUAUUAAGUGAUGCUUUUGCUAUUUUAACGUGUGGAGGUUCAUUGUACGUCUGUUUUUUCAAGUUUGGCAUGUGUUUUAACACAUGUGAAGGUGUAGUCUUUUCUUCUUCAGCGGAUAUUUGUACAAGACCCCGUUCACCGUCUAUCAGCUCUAGCUCGGCAAGAAUAAAGCGGUUCCUUAGAAGUGGUGGAGGUGCUGGGGUUCUGCAUACCAAGGACGUAUAAGGUCACAAAGCUGCACCCAGGUAGAGGCAGAAUCCAAAAAUGCUUGUGUACUUAAGUAUAGCUGCACAUUACAGAAUCCAAGGCCCUCAAGAUUUAUCCAUAGCCCUCGUGUUCCAUAUUUUUUAUUGGGAUUGAAGAGUAACGUUUGUGCUGUAUCCUUCUAUUUCAGACUAAAUAAUGUGCAUGCAAAAUUAUAUCUUCAUUACUUUACAGCAUUGCACCAAUAUCUGUUGUGCGUUGAUUUUCUGAUGUCCUUGCAUUUGCUAUAGCAAGGAUUUUUAAAAAUCAGCCACAAAAGAAAGAAUAAAUGGUCAAGGAACAAAGUGGUGUGUAGCAGCUCCCUUUUUUUUAAUCGGCAGCAAGUUUUGCACUUGUGUGUUAGCAACACUGUUUCGCCAGUUGUGUACUUCAAAAGAAGUGUUACCUUUCUGCUUUGGAACUUUGUGGUUUUGUUCUGCCAGCUGCUUGACCAACACAAGCAAAAUGUACUUUGGAUAUUCCACAAAUUAAUUCUGUAUGCAUUUGGUACAAUAAAAUUUGUUUCAAGAAUGGACAAAUGCAGUGAUGGUUAAUUGAAAACUGCAACAUGCCGAUUUUAGUUUCAUGCUUCAUUAAUUUUCUCAGCCCCAAAGAAAGCAUGCGAGGUUUGAAA